This is a long non-coding RNA of Macaca fascicularis (crab-eating macaque), 1563 nucleotides long. NCBI's taxonomy places the organism in Eukaryota, Metazoa, Chordata, Mammalia, Primates, Cercopithecidae. The record is from Ensembl.
UGGGGUUAAAGAUUCCUGAUGAAGGCACCGGGUGAUGCCACAAUCCCGCCUGCCCUCAAGGAGGGUGGAUGGAGAACCAAGUGGGAGGGGCUACGCGGCUGCGCAAAGACCCCUAAAUGCCUGUUGCCCGCUUGGCCGCGAGGGGUGAAUUUAGCAGUGUCGGGCUUUUGGUCCUAAUAUGCGGGCACUAUACACCCGGUCUCUGCUACCGGCUGACUGCGAGACCCUGAGGAAGUCACUUAACCUCUCUGAAGACUCGUAUUCCUCUUAUCUAGAAUAGGAAAGAACAAAAUCUUUCACUGCGUUUGGCAUUAACCUCCCAACACUGGGGCAUGGCUCGUACUAGGCGCUCUCAAAUGGCAAAUACAGAGGGAGAGGAGCGCCCUCGAACCCCUGCACCCAGAGGCUUCCACCCCAAGCUGCAAGCUGAAAGACCGAAGCCUCAGCCUGGAUGGUGAAGGGAGCGUGGUUCUUUCUUUUCACCCGGACGACGGUGGGGCUGCUGGGGAAGGAAAGAAGAUUAACCAAGCUGCGUACUGACCAUCCCCGAUAGCCCCAGUGCGAUUUCCCUUAAGAUAGAAAAACUGCCCAACAGGAGGACGGGAGGGGCCUGUAAGGCCUCGACUCCAGCCUUCCAUAGCCGAAAGAGAGGAUGUGACUACCAGAGGCAAUAGUCAUAUCCCAGUUGUCUACUGAGUGCACGCUAGGCACCAGGCUGUGUGCUGGGUGGGAAGGGGGAAAGGAAGGAGGUACUGAAAUGUUUGGGGGUCCUCUGGGAACACAAAGUCCAGUGCACACUUAAAGUGCCUGAAGCCCAGGCCCAAAGUUCUGUCUCCAAAUGAGGUGCCUACUCCCCAUCACCAACCUUGGAAAGGGAAGUUACAUCCGCACCCCGUCCCCAGCACCCUUCUUCCAAACACUGCUUCCUCCCUGUCCUGAUCCUGGCUCCCUUCUGCUGAUGCUGUCAUUCCCUUCCCUACUGCCCCUGAGACAUUUUUGCUCGGUACAAAGAGCUCCAAUUGAAGAGAGUGCCAGCCAGAGUGAAUUCAAAUCUUUAUAACCAACUAGCUGUGCCUUCUUGGGAUUCCUCUGGCACCACACUGGAAAAUAGAUGGCAGAAGCAGAGAAUGCAAGAGACUAGAUUGGAAGUUGACAUCAGUGGAGAUAUAAUAAGAGCCUGAACUGUGUCAGUGACUGUCUCAAGACAGAAGAAAAGGACAUCUAAAUAAUAGCUACCAUUUGGAGAUCUGAUAUGGUUUGACUCUGUGUCGCCACCCAAAAAUCUCAUCUUGAAUUGUAAUCCACAUGUGUCAGGGGAGGGACCUCAUGGGAGGUGAUUGGAUGAUGGGGGCCGUUACUCCAUGAUGUUCUUGUGAUAGGGAGUUCUCGCGCGAUCUGGUUGUUUGAUAAGUGUCUGGCAUCUCCCCUGUAUCCUCUCUCUCACCCGCCACCAUGUACAAUGUGCCCUGCUUCCCCCCAGCUUCCACCAUGAUUAUAAGUUCCUGAGGCCUCCCCAGCCAUGCGGAACUGUGAGUCAAUUAAACUUCUUUUGUUUAUAAAUUA